AUACGGAGGGUGCAAGCGUUAAUCGGAAUUACUGGGCGUAAAGCGCGCGUAGGCGGCUUGUUAAGUCGGAUGUGAAAGCCCCGGGCUCAACCUGGGAACUGCAUUCGAUACUGGCAAGCUAGAGUAUAGUAAAGGCAAGUGGAAUUCCGGGUGUAGCGGUGAAAUGCGUAGAUAUCCGGAGGAACGCCGGUGGCGAAAGCGACUCUCUGGCCUGCUACUGACGCUGAGGUGCGAAAGCGUGGGGAGCAAACAGGAUUAGAUACACCAGUAGUCC
This 274-nucleotide ribosomal RNA is filed under the name uncultured bacterium. Its description in RNAcentral is "partial 16S ribosomal RNA". It matches the Rfam family "Bacterial small subunit ribosomal RNA", at positions 523 to 796 of the family's 1533-position model. The record is from RNAcentral.